Molecule: ribosomal RNA, 369 nt
Filed under: Triticum aestivum (bread wheat)
Lineage: Eukaryota; Viridiplantae; Streptophyta; Magnoliopsida; Poales; Poaceae
Description: partial small subunit ribosomal RNA
Source: RNAcentral
AUGGAUCACAACCCACAGAUCGUUUGCUGGAAUGUGAGAGGAUUAAACAACCCAGCCAAGAGGAAAGUAGUUAGAGAGUUCUUCGCUUCGUUGAAAGUCAAAGUAGUGUGUCUCUAGGAGACCAAGUUGGAGAUCGUGGACCAGUUCAUAGUAAUGCAAUGUCUCGGACCAUAUUUUGAUGGGUUCGCUUACUUGCCUGCGAGUGAGACGCGUGGUGGUAUUUUACUUGCAUGGGACUCGACCUGCGUGAACGUCGACCACCUACAGUACGAUGCCAACUUCCUCACCGGCAAAGUUCGGCAACUUGAUGGCACCGAAUGGUGGAUCUCCGUGGUGUACGCACCCCAGGGUGACGAGCUUAAAACAUAG